GUAUGUUUCUCUUAUUGAUUAUUAAAUAAAAUAAUGUUUGGCCAAUGAGACAGCAAGUUAGGAAUAGGAGUCAAAGAGGAUUCUGGGAAAUGUAGUAGAUUAAUGGUGAUCCAGGCAGGAAGUGACCUAGCAAGAGACUCAUAUUUAAAGAAAGAGAAACAGGAAGCGUCACUCUUUUCCCCUCGGCUCCUGCUCCAGCGGCACAAUGUGAUCCACCGGCAAGGAGGGAUGCCAAUAAGGCAUCCAAUAAGAUAAGUCUUAUAAAAUAUAUAGGUUUAUGAUAGUUAAGAUUGAACUAGCAGAUGAGAAUCCUAGUCAUUGGCCAAGUAGCUUUGAAUCUAAUACAUGUUUCUGUGUAUUCAUUUGGGCCUAACUCGGGCUGGCGUAAAGCUCACAUGCAGCGGUGGGGCUCAGGCGGCUUUUGGCAGAAAGAUUUAUCAUAACACCAGCCUCUUUUGGUCCCUUUGCUAUCCCAGUUCCUAGGGCUCGCCUGACAUUCAAAAGGUGCUCAGUAAACAUUGAUGCGUGGUUGGCUGAAUUAAUAAUAGAUGGACGUGAGGUUCACUGGCCAUCAGUCCGAGGUGUCAGGUACAGGGGCGCUCACUGAAAGGCUUUCUCUAACUGCUCCUUCCUCCUUUCUUCUUCAGCAACGUGAGGAUGUGGACUAUAGACCUGACUUCUGGGUCCCAGGCCUGAGAAGCUCUCAGAAUAUCAGCCAGUGCCAGAAAGCCUUUCCCCUAGUGGCUAAGCAACCCUCCAUUGCUCAUUCUGCUUUCUGCUCUCUUUAAAGGGGACAGUGUGACCAGAAGUGGCUGGUGGCCUUUGCAACAGCAGGGGGAUUUGGGAGAGGAUGUCCCAGAGUGCCUCCGUGGCUGUGAGAAAUGGCUGAAGCAUAAGCACAAGGAAGACAUUUUGGGGAACAUCAUCGUUCACCUCGGGAGUGAUGGGUGGUCGGCUGUGUGAAGAUGAAGCUCAGUAUCUCCUUCCCCACCAUCAGAACCACCAGAAACUCAAGCUUUGGACAUUCUGUGAGAAUCGCAUAGCCACAGAGGCACUGCCAAGGGGAAGAGCUUAGUGUGAGCCCUUGCUGAGGGCACUGGACUGAACCUCCAGGACCAAGCAAGUGAGAACUAGGCCGAACCUUCAAGACUGAUCAGGUAGGAACUGGGCUGAACCUCCAGGACUGAUCAGGUGGGAACUGGGCUGAACUUCCAAGACUGACCAGAUGGGAAAGGGAGAAAGCCAGCAGCUUUAAUUAUUCUGAUGAGAUUAACAACCUAAAUCUAAAACUCAUAUAGAAAUGCAAAUGGCUGAGAAUAGUCAACCAAGUCUUAACAAAACCAAAGGGUUCAUAUGACAAGAUCCAAAGACAAAUUAUGAAUAACCUAAGACAGUGUGAUACCACAUGCUGACAAAACCUGUGGACCUAGAAGCUGACCAGAAGCUACCCUUCCUAUCGUCAUCUUACUUACACCAGCAGUGUAGAGCAUUGAGGAAUGGUCCCUCCG
RNAcentral lists this long non-coding RNA (1508 nucleotides) under Cricetulus griseus (Chinese hamster). RNAcentral describes it as "lncRNA (ENSCGRG00015040560.1)". The record is from RNAcentral. Lineage: Eukaryota; Metazoa; Chordata; Mammalia; Rodentia; Cricetidae.